UGCCAGCAGCCGCGGUAAUACGUACUGUGCGAACGUUAUUCGGAAUCACUGGGCUUAAAGGGUGCGUAGGCGGUCAUUUAAGUAGGGUGUGAAAUCCCCCGGCUCAACCGGGGAACUGCGCUCUAAACUGGAUGGCUUGAGUAAGAUAGGGGUGUGCGGAACUUCCGGUGGAGCGGUGAAAUGUGUUGAUAUCGGAAGGAACACCAGUAGCGAAAGCGGCACACUGGGUCUUAACUGACGCUGAGGCACGAAAGCUAGGGUAGCGAACGGGAUUAGAUA
This 279-nucleotide ribosomal RNA is filed under the name uncultured bacterium. RNAcentral's name for it is "partial 16S ribosomal RNA". It matches the Rfam family "Bacterial small subunit ribosomal RNA", at positions 506 to 784 of the family's 1533-position model. The record is from RNAcentral.